GACGAACGCUGGCGGCGUGCUUAACACAUGCAAGUCGAACGGAAAGGCCCCUUUGGGGGUACUCGAGUGGCGCACGGGUGAGUAACACGUGAGUAACCUGCCCUUGACUUCGGGAUAACUUCAGGAAACUGGGGCUAAUACCGGAUAGGAAUCCUUGCUGCAUGGUGGGGGUUGGAAAGCUUCGGCGGUUUUGGAUGGACUCGCGGCUUAUCAGCUUGUUGGUGGGGUAAUGGCUUACCAAGGCUUUGACGGGUAGCCGGCCUGAGAGGGCGACCGGCCACAUUGGGACUGGGAUACGGCACAGACGCCUACGGGAGGCAGCAGGGGGGAAUAUUGCACAAUGGGCGGAAGCCGGAUGCAGCAACGCCGCGUGCGGGAUGACGGCCUUCGGGUUGGAAACCGAUUUCAGCAGGGGCGAAGCUUGUGGUGACGGUACCUGCAGAAGAAGCACCGGCUAACUACGUG
This 465-nucleotide ribosomal RNA is filed under the name uncultured bacterium. Its description in RNAcentral is "partial 16S ribosomal RNA". It matches the Rfam family "Bacterial small subunit ribosomal RNA", at positions 28 to 507 of the family's 1533-position model. The record is from RNAcentral.